Molecule: long non-coding RNA, 1992 nt
Filed under: Nicotiana tabacum (common tobacco)
Lineage: Eukaryota; Viridiplantae; Streptophyta; Magnoliopsida; Solanales; Solanaceae
Description: long non-coding RNA (NTAB_LNC009722)
Source: RNAcentral
CUUGCUCAACUCACUGGAAAAGGAAAAGAACAAGAUUAUAUGAAUUGCUAUAGCGAUGAAACUUCAAGCAAUACAUGCACUACAAAAUCUUCAAGCAAGAUUGGUUCAUAUUCGAAAGACUAUGCACAUUCAGGCUGACAUAGCUACGUAUCUUCAUGGUAAAAUAUUUCUAGUUUGUUAAUAUUACAAUUUGCUAUCAACGUUCUAGAGCAAACUAUUAAUUCCUACCAAUACUCUUUUUCAGAAUGUAUAAAUAUCUCUGUAGUUGAAAUGUAUCAUCUUUGUUGUAUUUAACAUUAAAUUUCAUCUCGAAGUUAAGAUGCUUCCUCUGCUUCACAGUGCAAUAGACGCUACACACUGCUCAACAAGAUUUAACAAGUAAAAAUAAUUUCAAGAAAACAAAGAGAAGUAGCAAAAAUAGAAAAGCAACUGAAGGAGAGAAUAACUUACCUCUAUCACAGUACCAUUUGAUUUAACCAUUAUAUGCAUUCCUCGUUGAUUCUUAUGGUGGAAAUUUGAGCUCUUUGUGACCAGCAUUCCCUCUUCUUAGCCAGGAUUCCCCCUUCUUAAAUUCUAGACGUGGUUAUAGGCAACGAACUGGAAGGGACUUGAGAUUUGGACAAUUAUCGAUGAGCUGGAGGGAGGAGGGAAGCUAUAAACUGAAAUCAUUUUCAAAAUAGAGCAAAGAGAUUAGUCAAUCAUACCAUGUACUCUUAUCAAAUCCCUGACAAAGUAGAAAAAAUAUAAUAUUAUCCUUAAUUUGCUAAAACUCCAUUCUAGAGAUGAUAAUUCUAAUAACAUAGGUACAAAACUAAGAAUCCUAUAUAAGAUGAUCAUAACAUACAUACAAACUAAAAACCGCUGUCCUAUAGGAGUAAAACUAUCAUUUCAUGCUCAUCAAGUUCCUGAUGACAAGUUUAUCAUCCAUCCCAGGUUUAGGCUAGAAGGAAAGGAAGAAAUACAAACAAAAGAAAUUAUCAUCACAUGAAUGCUGAAAGGGCACACACUUUAGCUAUCACUUGGCCAAAUUUACACUUACAUUUAUGAAAUAAGCAAUCUAACUAUGAAAAUAUCUUAAGCCUAAUGACUGCCAACUCAUAACAACAGAAGUUCAUUUUUUUUAAAAUUUUUGGAUGGUUGUCCGUGAUUAUACACACACACAUACAUUGGAAUAUAGUUUCUAUAUGGGGCUUUAGCAUAGAUCUCUACAUUUAAUGACGAGCAAAACAUCACACAGUAGGAUGAAUCAUUCUUCUUAAUCAAGAGCAGAGAGCUACAUCAUUCAGACAUACCAUCAAAUUUGUUUCUUUCUAGUUUUUACUGGAAAUGAAACUUCGCACGGUAGGAUGAAUCAUUCUUCUUAAUUAAGACAAGAUCACGUUGAUCAUGGUUUGGUGUAACUAGAAAAUAGUACAAAUACUUACUUAUUUGGACAAAAUAUCAUUUCUGAAGUUGUCAAACAUUGCAUUUGUGAUCUGUUAUGAUAUUUUGGAAAGAAAACCUGAAAGUCAAGUGAAAUUUUUUAAGCUAAGUAGUUUGUUCGAACAAAUAAAAGUUAACAGAGCCAAGCCUCAAACUACUACCAAUCUAUGCUGAAUAAUCCACUGUAAAAGAAGACAGAGCAAAACAAGUUAUAUAAAUUGUGUAAUAUGUAAAGCUUAGUCAACCAUUUAAUUUGGACAAAAUAUCAGUUUCAAUAGUUAAUAGCAGUGGAUAUUUAAUUGAUAUAGAGAAUGACUACGCCUUUUCAUUGAUGCUUGAAAUUCGGCAUAGGAAAAACUCCGGUAUAGAAAAUUACAUAAUAUUUCCUUCUGACUGAUGAAAGAGAAGUAAUGCUGGCAAAAUUCCACACAAAAGAGAGGUAUGUUUCCUCACUUACACUCUUCUGACAGACCACUGUUGAGGUGAUUGCCUAUUCAUAAAGAAUGUCAGCACAACAUUGUUUUCAUCAACUGAGCAAAAAGGCUGGCAAUUGACGCUUUGCGCUGCUCU